RNAcentral lists this ribosomal RNA (161 nucleotides) under Aristolochia zollingeriana. RNAcentral describes it as "5.8S ribosomal RNA". It matches the Rfam family "5.8S ribosomal RNA". From Rfam's summary of the family: 5.8S ribosomal RNA (5.8S rRNA) is a component of the large subunit of the eukaryotic ribosome. It is transcribed by RNA polymerase I as part of the 45S precursor that also contains 18S and 28S rRNA. The record is from RNAcentral. Lineage: Eukaryota; Viridiplantae; Streptophyta; Magnoliopsida; Piperales; Aristolochiaceae.
CAUGACUCUUGGCAACAGAUAUCCUGGCUCUUGUCUCGAUGAAGAACGUAGCGAAAUGUGAUACUUGGUGUGAAUUGCAGAAUCCCACAAACUAUCGAGUCUUUGAAUGCAAGUUGCACCCGAGGCAUUAGGCCAAGGGUACACCUGCCUGGACGUCAUGC